UUUUCUAGUGUUUAAAGAUAGUUGGCAAAACCUUCACCCAUCUCGAAUUGAAGUGUUAAACAAUUAUCCCAUAAAGAUACUCUGAGAGCAGUCUUUGGGGACAAUAGUGGAAUGCUAGAAAC
RNAcentral lists this ribosomal RNA (122 nucleotides) under Lambia antarctica. Lineage: Eukaryota; Viridiplantae; Chlorophyta; Ulvophyceae; Bryopsidales; Bryopsidaceae. The record is from RNAcentral.